AUUGUACGCUGGCGGCAGGCUUAACACAUGCAAGUCGAGCGGGGUGAUGGUGCUUGCACUAUCACUUAGCGGCGGACGGGUGAGUAAUGCUUAGGAAUCUGCCUAUUAGUGGGGGACAACAUCUCGAAAGGGAUGCUAAUACCGCAUACGUCCUACGGGAGAAAGCAGGGGAUCACUUGUGACCUUGCGCUAAUGGAUGAGCCUAAGUCGGAUUAGCUAGUUGGUGGGGUAAAGGCCUACCAAGGCGACGAUCUGUAGCGGGUCUGAGAGGAUGAUCCGCCACACUGGGACUGAGACACGGCCCAGACUCCUACGGGAGGCAGCAGUGGGGAAUAUUGGACAAUGGGGGGAACCCUGAUCCAGCCAUGCCGCGUGUGUGAAGAAGGCCUUAUGGUUGUAAAGCACUUUAAGCGAGGAGGAGGCUCUUUUGGUUAAUACCCAAGAUGAGUGGACGUUACUCGCAGAAUAAGCACCGGCUAACUCUGUGCCAGCCGCCGCGGUAA
RNAcentral lists this ribosomal RNA (503 nucleotides) under uncultured bacterium. Its description in RNAcentral is "partial 16S ribosomal RNA". It matches the Rfam family "Bacterial small subunit ribosomal RNA", at positions 30 to 523 of the family's 1533-position model. The record is from RNAcentral.